CCGUGCUGAGCUUGAGGCCGAUGUAGAGGCUGGUGCUCAGCUGCGUCUUGACCCGCUCGUGCUCCAGCUGCAGCUCGCCCUCGCCGCCGCCGCUCAGCUCGGUUGUGUGGCAGUCCGCCUCGGCCAGGCCGGGCCCCGCCGCCAGCUCCAGCUCGUCCCGCCGCCUCUUCAUCCAGCGCUCGUUGAGCUCCUCCUGGAUCUCGGCGGCCAGGUGCUCCAGCAGCUCCUCCUGCCGCGCCCGCUGCUCCUGCAGCUGCAGCACCUCCUCGCACUUCCUGGCGUAGUCGUCCUCGGGGCGGCCGGCGCCGGGCUGCGCCUCCCGGCCCGGCUCCUCGCCGCCGGCGCCCACCAGGAAGACAUACAAGCCAGAGGCCCGGAAAGCACACGGACUCAUUGUGGAGCACAGCUUCCAGCUGUGCCAUCCCUACAGGUGUCUGUGAAUCGCGCUGGAUGUCCACCUGCACCUUCAGUUCAG
This 475-nucleotide long non-coding RNA is filed under the name Gallus gallus (chicken). Lineage: Eukaryota; Metazoa; Chordata; Aves; Galliformes; Phasianidae. The record is from RNAcentral.